RNAcentral lists this ribosomal RNA (736 nucleotides) under uncultured Paenibacillus sp. RNAcentral's name for it is "bacterial SSU rRNA". It matches the Rfam family "Bacterial small subunit ribosomal RNA", at positions 56 to 774 of the family's 1533-position model. Lineage: Bacteria; Bacillati; Bacillota; Bacilli; Caryophanales; Paenibacillaceae. The record is from RNAcentral.
UGCAGUCGAGCGGAGUUGAAAGGUGCUUGCACCUUUGAUACUUAGCGGCGGACGGGUGAGUAACACGUGGGUAACCUGCCUAUAAGACUGGGAUAACAUUCGGAAACGAAUGCUAAUACCGGAUACGCGAUUUGGUCGCAUGAUCGAAUCGGGAAAGAUGGAGCAAUCUAUCACUUACAGAUGGACCCGCGGCGCAUUAGCUAGUUGGUGAGGUAACGGCUCACCAAGGCGACGAUGCGUAGCCGACCUGAGAGGGUGAUCGGCCACACUGGGACUGAGACACGGCCCAGACUCCUACGGGAGGCAGCAGUAGGGAAUCUUCCGCAAUGGACGAAAGUCUGACGGAGCAACGCCGCGUGAGUGAUGAAGGUUUUCGGAUCGUAAAGCUCUGUUGCCAGGGAAGAAUGCUUGGGAGAGUAACUGCUCCCAAGGUGACGGUACCUGAGAAGAAAGCCCCGGCUAACUACGUGCCAGCAGCCGCGGUAAUACGUAGGGGGCAAGCGUUGUCCGGAAUUAUUGGGCGUAAAGCGCGCGCAGGCGGCCUUGUAAGUCUGUUGUUUAAACUUGGGGCUCAACCCGAAGUCGCAAUGGAAACUGCAAAGCUUGAGUACAGAAGAGGAAAGUGGAAUUCCACGUGUAGCGGUGAAAUGCGUAGAGAUGUGGAGGAACACCAGUGGCGAAGGCGACUUUCUGGGCUGUAACUGACGCUGAGGCGCGAAAGCGUGGGGAGCAAACA